Molecule: transfer RNA, 72 nt
Filed under: Marmota marmota marmota (Alpine marmot)
Lineage: Eukaryota; Metazoa; Chordata; Mammalia; Rodentia; Sciuridae
Also listed under: 2 other names
Rfam family: tRNA
About the family: Transfer RNA (tRNA) molecules are approximately 80 nucleotides in length. Their secondary structure includes four short double-helical elements and three loops (D, anti-codon, and T loops). Further hydrogen bonds mediate the characteristic L-shaped molecular structure. tRNAs have two regions of fundamental functional importance: the anti-codon, which is responsible for specific mRNA codon recognition, and the 3' end, to which the tRNAs corresponding amino acid is attached (by aminoacyl-tRNA synthetases). tRNAs cope with the degeneracy of the genetic code in two manners: having more than one tRNA (with a specific anti-codon) for a particular amino acid; and 'wobble' base-pairing, i.e. permitting non-standard base-pairing at the 3rd anti-codon position.
Source: Rfam by way of RNAcentral
GGCAAUGUAGCUCAGUGGUAGAGCACAUUCUUGACAUGCAAAAGGUCCUGGAUUCAAUCCCCAGCAGCCCCA